GGUCCGCGUGUGGUGGGAAGCAUCAACAAGGCGGCCGUUGGAGCACCGGCGACUCGAUCACCUCCUUUCUA
This 71-nucleotide ribosomal RNA is filed under the name Clostridium botulinum. RNAcentral's name for it is "partial 16S ribosomal RNA". Lineage: Bacteria; Bacillati; Bacillota; Clostridia; Eubacteriales; Clostridiaceae. The record is from RNAcentral.